RNAcentral lists this ribosomal RNA (451 nucleotides) under uncultured bacterium. RNAcentral's name for it is "bacterial SSU rRNA". It matches the Rfam family "Bacterial small subunit ribosomal RNA", at positions 10 to 507 of the family's 1533-position model. The record is from RNAcentral.
AGUUUGAUCAUGGCUCAGAGCGAACGCUGGCGGCAGGCUUAACACAUGCAAGUCGAGCGCCGUAGCAAUACGGAGCGGCAGACGGGUGAGUAACGCGUGGGAACGUACCUUCUGGUUCGGAAUAACUCAGGGAAACUUGAGCUAAUACCGGAUAAGCCCUUCGGGGGAAAGAUUUAUCGCUAAAGGAUUGGCCCGCGUUGGAUUAGCUAGUUGGUGAGGUAAUGGCUCACCAAGGCGACGAUCUAUAGCUGGUCUGAGAGGAUGAUCAGCCACACUGGGACUGAGACACGGCCCAGACUCCUACGGGAGGCAGCAGUGGGGAAUAUUGGACAAUGGGCGAAAGCCUGAUCCAGCCAUGCCGCGUGAGUGAUGAAGGCCCUAGGGUUGUAAAGCUCUUUCGCUAGAGAAGAUAAUGACGGUAUCUAGUAAAGAAGCCCCGGCUAACUUCGUG